GCCACGGUGGCCUAGUGGUCAUGGCACUCGACUGCUGAUCCGAAGGUCGCGGGAUCGAAUCCCGGCCGCGGCG
RNAcentral lists this transfer RNA (73 nucleotides) under Rhipicephalus sanguineus (brown dog tick). RNAcentral's name for it is "transfer RNA serine (anticodon GCU)". It matches the Rfam family "tRNA". From Rfam's summary of the family: Transfer RNA (tRNA) molecules are approximately 80 nucleotides in length. Their secondary structure includes four short double-helical elements and three loops (D, anti-codon, and T loops). Further hydrogen bonds mediate the characteristic L-shaped molecular structure. tRNAs have two regions of fundamental functional importance: the anti-codon, which is responsible for specific mRNA codon recognition, and the 3' end, to which the tRNAs corresponding amino acid is attached (by aminoacyl-tRNA synthetases). tRNAs cope with the degeneracy of the genetic code in two manners: having more than one tRNA (with a specific anti-codon) for a particular amino acid; and 'wobble' base-pairing, i.e. permitting non-standard base-pairing at the 3rd anti-codon position. The record is from Rfam by way of RNAcentral. Lineage: Eukaryota; Metazoa; Arthropoda; Arachnida; Ixodida; Ixodidae.